Siniperca chuatsi (mandarin fish) is the source of this 7638-nucleotide long non-coding RNA. RefSeq lists it as uncharacterized. NCBI's taxonomy places the organism in Eukaryota, Metazoa, Chordata, Actinopteri, Centrarchiformes, Sinipercidae. The record is from RefSeq and is a predicted model, not a curated record. The transcript is spliced from 2 exons.
CACCCACUUUCAACUAACUAAAUGCAUUAAAGUUUGACAAAAGAAGAACUCAUCAUUUUGACAUUGCUUACACAUCCGUUAUAGCAUAUCUGGUCAACCAGCCAUAAAAUCAGCAGGUUAUCUGUUCAGACAGCUGUACAGUUUAUCAGCAACUGCCAACGUUUGCUUAGCAGACUGAUACAUCUCCACUCCUUCAUAUUUUAGCUGUAAAUGAAUAAACAAGUGCUUGAGUCUGUUGUUCUUUGCCUCUUAAUGUCCUCAAUGUUUAACCAGUUGUCUAUUGCUGCUACUUUCUUUCAUUUAUCAGUAAAUCAUUAUUCCUCUUUGUUGUCAUCUUCCCACCCCCUCGCCCCCUCCUCCUUCUUCUCUGAGUUUCUCUCCAACCACAGACAAGGAAACUGUGUGUAUUUUGGAAUGUCAGGCUGUUCGUAUGCGUUUCAGAAGUUGUGGGUGUCUCAUUAUGGUCACCACUGUCUUGUUCAGAGUGCAUUGUCAUCACAAACAGGAAGUGGAAACGUGGUGUUUGCAUCAACGUUGGGGAAUCCUCAGUGUGGUCGCAGACACGCAGCUUUGUGCGUUCUGCACUGUUUGUUUGGCUGCUGCCUCUCACAGUGCUGAGAAGAAAAAUUGUGUGUCUGUCUCAGCCCCCCAGUGUGUGUGUGUGUGUGUGUGUGUGUGUGUGUGUGUGUGUGUGUGUGUGUGUGUGUGUGUGUGUAGACUAGCCAUGCUGGAGAGCUCAGACACAUGGUUUCCUGUCUGUGUUUAACUCAAAUCAGAAACAUCUCCAGCACAUGGUGAACAGGCCCCAUAGACACAGAACACCUCUGAAGUGAGGUAUGAGAGUGACGUAGACUCAGUCUGCUGCUAUUAUUAAAGCAGAUAAGAUUCAUCUUGUUGCCGCCCAACUGAACAAACUGUAACUUUUAUCUGCUGUACAUAAAUACUGCAAAUAGUGUGGGAGGCUGAAGGGUGGCCAAGAAACAGACUUUCCUUCAACUGAAUGAGCUGUUUUCAGGCCUCUGGUUGGAAAACAUUCACCCUGCUGAAAUGUCCUUAAGCAAGACCCUGUGACCUUUAUGAAGCUCAUAAUGUUGACAUUGUCGGAAAUGUGUAAAUUCAACUAUAUUAUUAUAGUUAUUAUUGAGGUCAUACUUAACGGUGGUGUUGAACUGGACUACAAUAUAGUGAAAGGUGUUUCCCAUUUUUUGUCCUUCCUAUUCAAAUGAGGGGGCAGAAUAUUAGAAAUGCCUCUCAAUAUAAUGCAGUCCAGUACAACACCAUCACUAUGACCUCACUGCCAUUUAACAGAUUUCCGACAAUGUCACCCAAAACUGAACAUUAUGAGCUUCGUAAAGAUAGAUGUUAUGGCAUGAUGUAUUGGAUCGCAUUAGAUUGUACAGGUGUACCUAAUGAAGUGGCCACUGAGUGUAUAGCAGAUUACUUCCUGGCCCAUGCCUGGUUCUAGACCCCUGAAUCACUACCCACAUCUAUGAUUUGUUCAGAGAGUUGCAUAGGUCUGGUGUUGUGCCCAUUGAUGGCUGUUGGAGAAGCAGUCAACCAAUCAGAGCUUUUGUAGUGAUUAUAAAAUGACAAAAAGCAAGGAUGGAAUUAACACAGUUUAUCAGGUUUUUGGAAGUCAAUUUACAGAAAUAGCCACUCUUGUAUCAGCAUAUUUCUUUAAUCGUCAAUCCUUAGAUAAUAUUGUACUUAAAUGGUGCAAAUUCACUUAGUUUCAAUUAGUAAUUUAAAAAAUGACCACCAAUUAACACAUGAUAAACCUGGGCUGGGUUUCUGUGUAAGAAUUUGUUUUAUUUUUUUUGUAAUUGUCCUGAGUGCCUGUCAGGUUUUCCAUAUAAUAAUGAUAUUAAUUUGUAUAUGAAGUAAGAUCAAGCAUUUUCUUUUUUAUACCUGGGCUCCUGGAGGUUUGCCUGGUUGGAAAUCUAGCUUGUACUACCCCAAUACAAUGGACAUUAAAGGAAUUCCAUUUGUGGUGCUCAUAGCAUUGAAAAAUUCCAUUUUUCAGCAGCAGUAGUGUGUACAGAACUCACACAGCUGCAUGUAUGUGAACAGUUUUUAUUAAAAGUACUUUCUCCCCAAAAAAUAGUCCCUAUGAAAACUGCUGACAGUGUAUUCUACGGGUUAUUCAGAGAAACAGGGACGCUAUUUCUGGAACGAGCUGUGGGUUUUGAACAUUUUAAAUGUAAUUUUUCAAUGCUAUGAGCUUGACAAAUGAAAUCCCAGUCAUUGUAUUUCGAUAACUCAAAACCUAGACAGGCAAAAUCAAAACUAUCAUGCCUACAUACCACCAGAGGUAUUUGGGUGAACUGAUCUUUCAGCUUUUAAUUUAUACAAAUCACAAAUGCAUGUUCACAGUGAAAUAGCUCUUCAUUACUAACUUUAAGAGAAAACUACAUGAAUUAGCUUAACACUGACACAUCAAAAGUGGCACCCUUGCUCCCUAUACCGCCCUUUAUAAUUGACAUGUCCUUUAAUUUGAGAUCCUCCCUUGCUUUCCUGACUUGCUUGUGGUGAUGUCUCAGAGUAAUGAAUGCAGCCACCAAAUACACCAAAGAAUCUAUGUGCUACAGUUAUUUGAGUGGAUCGGCAGGGGAGACAAUGUUCCUGCGGCACUAAAAGCUCUCUCUGAUGACGUGCUUGUUGCACAAAUGCACAUGUAAUUGCCAGCGACUUUAGAGAGCAGGGGAAAUCUACCCUGGUUGUCGCGCCACCAGGUGAGUGGAUCUGCGUUGGUGUCUAGGGGCUCCUCCCGUAGGGAUGAGUUUAGUUCUCUGAGGUAUGUUGUCCGUGACUUCAGCAGAGACUUCUUUUUUGCUGUGGUGGCAUUGCGUCAGUCCUGCAUUCACUGCACACAUUUAGUAAACAAGCUGGAAUUCAGAUUUCCUGCACAGUAAGUGAGCGGGUACCCUUCUUCUGUUCAAACCUUUAAUGAAACUGUAUUCCAGUCAGCUGAUGCUGCUCUCUGAUCUUCCUGUUAUUGCUCCCUACAGUGAUCAAUAAGCAUGAGACAACCCCACUCUGGAUAAUACCAGUAUAAAGAUGUACUGUAACAGGGACGCCUGAGCACUUCACACUAAAUUUGGCAAGUUCAGUAGCUGUAUCACGGAUGUGUACAGUAGUUUGUGUAAAUCAUAAUCUAUCUUUGUGUCUGUCAGUCUGUAUCUCUCACUGAAACACACACAUAUACACACAGAGCCCUGAGGGUAAGGGCUGUGGUUCCUUCCUCUCAGUGAGGACACAUGCAGCAGGAAGUUCUUGUUUGUUUAUUGGACCGCUGCCAUGACUUAUUCCUCUUCAAAUGCCUCACAUUGUUCUUCCCCAGCAUUACAUUCUUAUGACGUGCCUGUAAUAGUGUUUGUGCAUGUGGUUUAUGUCUUGAGAGUCAUACUGGAUUCUCGUGUGUGUGUGUGUGUGUGUGUGUGUGUGUGUGUGUGUGUGUGUGUGUGUGUGUGUGUGUGUGUGUGUGUGUGUGUGUGUGUGUUUUGUGCAUCCAAGCAUGUGCUACAAAUGUCACCAUGAGGGAGAGAACAUUGUGAUCCCACAGCUGCAAACACUAACAGGGCUUGUUGGUAUUGAUGGACAGCUCAGUGGAAGCCCAUCAGAAAUGAAUCCGAUUGGGAGAUGUGUUCUGCGGUUUGGCCUUAGAUGGUAGCUGUGACAAUAUGUUGAGAUUUAAAGCUGCAUUAAUCAAUAUUUUUAUAUUAAAAAUUGAUUCAAAUGACUAUGUGCACUGUUAAAGAUGUCGUAGUGACGAAGCCGUAGAACAGUAUCCCAGGCUAACUGUGCAGUUCCCUUCUAUAAAGUGUUUUAGCAUCUUUCAGCUCAUUGUUUUGGUUUUACAGCCCACAUCUUUACUGUUUCGGUUCACUCUCAGCGCUCUCAUCAACCUUGUUUCCAGCAGCAGCAGGCAGCUGUCAGUGAAAAUUUGGUGGGUUUAAACAGGUGCUCACAUCUAUACUGAGUGACUCUACAAAAUCUGAUGGAAAGUCACCAUUAGGCAGAGCUACAGCAACAUCGUAAAUUUAAAUUCUAACUAAAGAUUUAUUAAGUCAAUUUUAGGUAUUCUUCAAAAAUCAUAUCUGUUGCAGCAAAUCGGCAUCAUUGUCUAUCAGUAUGUGUAUUUUGAUAUAGAUUGGACCCAUUCAAAUCAAUUCAAUUCAGUUUUAUUUAUAUAGCGCCAAUUCCUAACAGAAGUUAUCUCAUUGCACUUUUCCUAUAGAGCAGCCCGAACUCUUUAUAAUAUUAAUUACAGAGACCCAACAAAGGGAGGGAGGCACAAUGCAAAGACCACGUAGAAUUUUUUUUUUUUGUGCAAAAAUGCAUGUGUCCAAGUGCAAAUUAUAAUAUUCUAAACAUUUUUUAUUAUUAGAAUAAACUAUUUUGAUGACUGUGUGUCCUUGGUGUAGGUAUGCACUCUCUCAAUGUAUUGCACUUUCUUUUUAAUUUGGCAUUUCAGUGUGGACAGUAGGUUUUUUAAGUUAAAUCCCAUUCGACGCAUUUUCAAAUCUAACCACAUUGGUGUGGACGGUGGUUUUACUACUUUAGAAUUUUGACUUCUGCACUUUCCCAAUCAUUGUGCCAAGAACAUAAAAACUGAUCCGAGAUCAUCCCUCCCACUCUGAGAGACCUGGACCUCUGUGAUACAGCGUUUGUUUCUAAUUAAGAUCCUGUAAAGAUGAUUUGGAGCAGACUGACGCCGCCUCUCAGCCAGUGUCAGUUACACAUGUAUUUUGGAGCUUGUGAACUAGUUUCAGUGGGAGGGGAGGCAUUGAUAGUAAAUACUGCCUUGUCAUAGUAACAUACUAUUUGUUUUAGUGCUGUAUUUAAAGCUGUGUUCUUGUGAAAGUCAGUUUUACAUGGUUGGAGGCACGCUAUGUGAGGAAUGAGAUGAAGGGACAGUCUGUGUUUUUGCACAGAUGUCGCCUGAUCUCCUCCAAGUCAUUUCAUGGGUUAUUUUGGCAACCCUCAUGAUGAAUGAAAUCUUCCUCAUGACAUGAAGUGGGGUGUUUCUAUUUUGAUGAUAAAGAAGAAGAACGAGAGAUAAAAAUAAGAAAAGGGAAAAAUUCAUUUGAAUGACUUCUUGAUACAGCUGGAAAAAAGGAAGAGGAGAAGAAGACGGAUAAAGGAAAAAGUGGCUCUGUCCAUGUUCCAAGAUCUGUUUUUUUAUUCUCAUUUUUACAGUUCCUUCUUAACUGUGGAAUCUUGGCUUGCCGUCAGUGAGUACAUCAGUCAUUCAGUCACACAGCAGACUGCUUCAUAGAGAAAUGACUCAAGCAGGCCAACUCUAAGAUGCAUAACUAGGAGGGAAAGACGGGCAGUGUGAGGCAAAAAGAAUGGUGACCAGGACAGAGAAGACUGAGAUGGGAUGUGGAAGUAGAUGAAGAGACUGAAACAGAGCGACAGAGAGAUGUAGGAAGGAGGCGAUGAGAGCUGGAGAGCUAUGAGCCAUGUUAAAACAGUCUGGAUUGUAAAGGCAGUGCUGUUAUCAUAACAAGUAAAUAGUCAUAUUCACUUUUAGUCAGUGUCACACUGUGGCUGGAUACCAGCCUAGAUAAAGGCAGGAUAUUUAUAUACAUUUAGUAGGGUUAAAACUUUUUUUAUAUGAUGUUCAUGUAGUGAAAUGAAACCCACACAUAAUGAAAACAUAACUUCAAGAAACUUAGGAACCUUUUUGUGCACUGUGCAAAGAUGAAUUGGAGUAGAACCAACAGCAAAUAUUUAAUGAAGUUACAAAACCCUACACAAACAGAUUAUAUGAGUUAUAUUAAAGAUGCAUUCAUUUAUUUUUUUGGCCAAAAAAACUUUAUAUGGUUGCUAUGGUUAACAAACAGUUACCUAUUUACACAUCCGACAUAGCAUUGUGCAAACUCGUUUGGCAAGGGCCAAAUGUUGAAUGUAACAGACUUUUAUAUAUUUACAUUCAUAUGUAAAAGCCCACACUCUAGCUUUAAGAUAAUUUAAACCUGAAAAUCAACGUAAUUUUGUGUCAGUAUCCUAAAGAAGACAGAAUAAGGAAAUCUGCUGACCAUGAAACCAUGAAAAUUAACUUAAAUUUCAAAACACUUUGAUUUGUAUUAGAAACAAGUUGAAAUUGUCCUACUUCCACUUAUUUCAAGAAAAUGUAAUUCUUAGGAUUCAGUAAUCGACAGAGAUUACUUGAUAAGAUUACAUUCUUGAUUUCUCACCAUCGCAGUCACUAUGUUCCGAUUUUCUGUACCAACAAAGAAAGCUGGAUGAGGUGUUUACAUGCCACAGUAUCCUGGUUUCGAUUGGAGUUUUCCCGGUAGUAUAUCCAGGUAUCUCAAAAAAGAAAGAAAAGAAGAAGAAAAUGUUUUUCUGAAAAUGUUAGAACUGGGAUACUCUAAAAAGCAAAUCAAACCCGAUUCAGUUUUAUGCAUUUCAUGAUUGACUUUAUGAGAAAUAAAGAGCCACAAGGUCGGUCGUAGAGCUACUAUAGCAGCUUCUUAUCAGCACAUAGCUGCUGUUUCUAAACAUCAUCAUAAAGCUAUCAACUGCUAGACAUGACAUCAUCCUUCACCUGUUAGCCCUUAUCGGGAUCAUUCCAAUGUUCCCCAGAUUUAUAUAGCAUAUAAUGGGAACACGACAAAGGAUCGUAUGUUCCCCAGUUCUAGGUUAGGGUUAGGGGGUUAGGGAACUUAGGGAACAUAGAUACGCUCCCCCAUUAUCAUCUCUAUACCCCAGUCAAAACAGCGGAUCAUUAUAUUUUCAGAGUUGCAAGUAGAAUUUACCACACUAAUCAGAAUAUGCACAAAUCUGAAUCUGAUUGAUCUACAACUUUUAUUUAUCCAUGAUGUGACCAAGGAAAAAUAUCACAUCAUAAAGUAACCACUGGCUUUGAAUGGAAAUGCUGAUCAAGUCAACAUGAAUAAUUAUAUUUAAAGCCUCAUUAGAAGUAUUUUGCUGGCACGGAGGACAAACUGGCACAGUGAAGGCCUGUUGGAAGUGUGCUUCAGCCUCCUCAGUGUUUAUAAUUGCUUCCAUCUAUCCACCCAUCACCUGUUUCGAACAUGAAAUCAUGUCUGGCUCUGUCAUUUUCCAUGGAAAGUAGUUCUUUUUUAAUAUCCAACUCACAACUUUGUUAUUCACCAAACAUUGUGAGGAUCCAAGUAAUUAACAACUGGUUAGAGCAUUAAGAGCGUGAGUCAGAGAUGGCAGUGUUUGAAAUCUCAACACACACACACACACACACACACACACACACACACACACACACACACAGAUGACAUGUGUAAUUGCAAGAUGGAGUUGAGGAUCCCUCUAUUAGUCCGAAUGAUGUGUCAAACCUCAUUGCACAACACUGCAUGAGAACACUGGCAUCCUGAUCGGAAUAAGGCAACAUGAGUCCUAUUACCAGUUUGCUUUGGCACCGUCUGAUUGGUUGUGUCUCUGCCUCAAAUGCACACACUGGCACACUCUAAUCAUGGCAGAAUGACAGCAAGGAAAUAAACCUAAAACCUCAAAAACCUCCAAGCAAUCUUAAAACCCUUAAAACAUACACACAUGUACAGACACAUGGAAUUUGAGAAGAAGUGUCUGACUGUCUGGCAGUCUUAGUUCACAACUCACUUUACUACCAGACUUUUGAAGUUGUCUCAAAUC